CCAGGUCACGGGUUUAAGCAGCCCACCAGGUCACGGGUUUAAGCAGCCUCUCCGUACUUUGAGAAAGCUUGACUGGGUUUAUCCCUUCUCUAGACCCUACGUCAAUAGGUCUGCCCUUUGGAGAGAAAUUAGUGAGCCAAGUUACCCAGCAAAAUUGUUUAGCACAAUGCCUACACCUCUUCUUUUUUGUUUGAUUUAUAUAAGGAACAGAAUAGAGGGGAUGUUUUUAAGAGGGUCCAAUAUUCAUUAUAAAAGUCCCAGCAGACUGAUUCAACAAAAAUGGAUUGUUGUUGUUCCAGAAGGUGAUUCAACAAAAAAUGCAACCAUCAAUUCAAAAUGGGCAAAGUAGUGUCCUCAGCAAAAAUAAAAAUGAACAGUAAACCAUUGUAACAACUACAACCAGGCUGAAAAUUUGCUCAAGCAAAAGCUUCACCCUCUGUACCAGGUCCAUCCAUGAGCUCAAUUCAAAUAAAAUCAACCCCUUCUAUUCAAAUAUGUUGUGCAAUGCAACAGUGCAAUUUGAUCGUCAAAGCUGCGCCGUUGUCAGCGUUCUAACCCCUUCAAAGAAAUCAAUCCCAAAUAUCGGACGAUGAUUGACCCAUUUUCACUAACAUGCCCAAUUCGUCAUAACAAACACAGAAUUGCAGCAAUAAUUACGCAUCACGUCAAAACGUCGACUCUGCUGAGAAAUCCCUGUGUUUCAAACCCAAAACGACCGAGGCACACUGGAUCAAGCUACCAAGUCGAGAUCUGCCGCACACAAAAUGAUCCAAAUCCGCCAUAGCUCCGUCACAACCACCCAGACUCCGACAACGGACCGAAUCCUUCCAUUCGACACACCCAAAUCCAACUGACGACGUAGGACCGACCGAGAUCCCAAGAAACACGAAACAUUGCCUCGACGGGGCCGGAUCAGGGAGGCCUCGUGGGCAGAGGAGCGAAGAGCGAGGGACGCCACCUGUUUGCGGAACAUGGGGGAA
Molecule: unclassified non-coding RNA, 980 nt
Filed under: Zea mays
Lineage: Eukaryota; Viridiplantae; Streptophyta; Magnoliopsida; Poales; Poaceae
Description: misc RNA Zm00001eb185360
Source: RNAcentral